AUGGAGCUCAAUGUUCACCUUCGUGAUACUGAUGGUGACCCCUUGUCUGAUCCGACACGUUAUCGUCAUCUUGUUGGGAGUUUUGUCUAUCUAGCCGUCACUCGUCCGGAUAUCUCUUUUCCAGUCCAUAUUUUGAGCCAGUUUGUCUCUACUCCCACUUCGGUUCACUAUAGUCAUCUUCUUCGUGUUCUCCGAUAUCUUCGUGGCACGAUCUCUCACCGUCUGUUCUUUCCUCGCUCCGGUUCAUUACAGCUUCAGGCCUUUUCGGAUGCUACGUGGGGUAGUGAUCCUUCGGAUCAUCGUUCACUUUCUGCUUACUGUGUUUUCCUUGGUGGUUUUCUCAUUGCUUGGAAGAGGAAGAAACAGACCGCAAUUUCCCAUUCGAGUGCAUAG
This 393-nucleotide ribosomal RNA is filed under the name Triticum aestivum (bread wheat). RNAcentral describes it as "partial small subunit ribosomal RNA". Lineage: Eukaryota; Viridiplantae; Streptophyta; Magnoliopsida; Poales; Poaceae. The record is from RNAcentral.